CAUGCAAGUCGAGCGGUAACAGGGGGUGCUUGCACCCCGCUGACGAGCGGCGGACGGGUGAGUAAUGCAUAGGAAUCUGCCCAGUAGUUGGGGAUAGCCCGGGGAAACCCGGAUUAAUACCGAAUACGCCCUACGGGGGAAAGCAGGGGAUCUUCGGACCUUGCGCUAUUGGAUGAGCCUAUGUCGGAUUAGCUAGUUGGUGGGGUAACGGCCUACCAAGGCGACGAUCCGUAGCUGGUCUGAGAGGAUGAUCAGCCACAUCGGGACUGAGACACGGCCCGAACUCCUACGGGAGGCAGCAGUGGGGAAUAUUGGACAAUGGGGGCAACCCUGAUCCAGCCAUGCCGCGUGUGUGAAGAAGGCUUUCGGGUUGUAAAGCACUUUCAGUGAGGAGGAAAACCUUAAGGUUAAUACCCUUGAGGCUUGACGUUACUCACAGAAGAAGCACCGGCUAACUCCGUGCCAGCAGCCGCGGUAAUACGGAGGGUGCAAGCGUUAAUCGGAAUUACUGGGCGUAAAGCGCGCGUAGGUGGUUCGAUAAGCGAGAUGUGAAAGCCCCGGGCUUAACCUGGGAACGGCAUUUCGAACUGUCGGGCUAGAGUGUGGUAGAGGGUAGUGGAAUUUCCUGUGUAGCGGUGAGAUGCGUAGAUAUAGGAAGGAACACCAGUGGCGAAUGCGGCUACCUGGACCAACACUGACACUGAGGUGCGAGAGCGUGGGGAGCAAACGGGAUUAGAUCCCUGGUAGUCCACCGCCGUAAACGAUGUCAACUAGCCGUUGGGGAUCUUGAAUCCUUAGUGGCGCAGCUAACGCACUAAGUUGACCGCCUGGGGAGUACGGCCGCAAGGUUAAAACUCAAAUGAAUUGACGGGGGCCCGCACAAGCGGUGGAGCAUGUGGUUUAAUUCGACGCAACGCGAAGAACCUUACCUGGCCUUGACAUCCUGCGAACUUUCUAGAGAUAGAUUGGUGCCUUCGGGAACGCAGUGACAGGUGCUGCAUGGCCGUCGUCAGCUCGUGUCGUGAGAUGUUGGGUUAAGUCCCGUAACGAGCGCAACCCCUAUCCCUAGUUGCUAGCAGUUCGGCUGAGAACUCUAGGGAGACUGCCGGUGACAAACCGGAGGAAGGUGGGGAUGACGUCAGGUCAUCAUGGCCCUUACGGCCAGGGCUACACACGUGCUACAAUGGCGCGCACAGAGGGCUGCAAACUCGCGAGGGUAAGCCAAUCUCUUAAAACGCGUCGUAGUCCGGAUCGCAGUCUGCAACUCGACUGCGUGAAGUCGGAAUCGCUAGUAAUCGCGAAUCAGAAUGUCGCGGUGAAUACGUUCCCGGGCCUUGUACACACCGCCCGUCACACCAUGGGAGUGGAUUGCACCAGAAGUGGUUAGUCUAACCUUCGGGAGGACGAUCACCACGGUG
RNAcentral lists this ribosomal RNA (1418 nucleotides) under Marinobacter szutsaonensis. RNAcentral's name for it is "16S ribosomal RNA". It matches the Rfam family "Bacterial small subunit ribosomal RNA". The record is from RNAcentral. Lineage: Bacteria; Pseudomonadati; Pseudomonadota; Gammaproteobacteria; Pseudomonadales; Marinobacteraceae.